UUUGCCUACGGGGCGCAGCAGUGAGGAAUAUUGGUCAAUGGGCGCGAGCCUGAACCAGCCAAGUCGCGUGAGGGAAGACGGUCCUAUGGAUUGUAAACCUCUUUUGUCGGGGAGCAAAAGACGCCACGCGUGGCGUUCCGAGAGUACCCGAAGAAAAAGCAUCGGCUAACUCCGUGCCAGCAGCCGCGGUAAUACGGAGGAUGCGAGCGUUAUCCGGAUUUAUUGGGUUUAAAGGGUGCGUAGGCGGACUGUUAAGUCAGCGGUAAAAGCCCGGGGCUCAACCCCGGCGAGCCGUUGAAACUGGC
RNAcentral lists this ribosomal RNA (305 nucleotides) under uncultured bacterium. Its description in RNAcentral is "bacterial SSU rRNA". It matches the Rfam family "Bacterial small subunit ribosomal RNA", at positions 334 to 637 of the family's 1533-position model. The record is from RNAcentral.